Molecule: long non-coding RNA, 602 nt
Organism: Cyprinus carpio (common carp)
Lineage: Eukaryota; Metazoa; Chordata; Actinopteri; Cypriniformes; Cyprinidae
Source: Ensembl
UGUUUCAAGACGCACUCGUGAUGUGGACACGCCAGAGCGUCUUUAACUUUAAUCGAAAUGCCACGAGCGUGAAAGUCAUCAGGCUGUCACGGAUCUGCGCGUGGCCAUGACCGGCAUGAUAAAGAACCGGACGGCUUUUCUGCGAGGAAAACGGCUAAUGGGCGAAAGAUGAGGAGAAAAACAAUAGCAAAGCGCAUCCUGUACAAUGGAUACGAAGAGACACCCGAAGAAACCGGCGCGAGGGCGAACCACGUCCUCAGUCAAGAGCCGGCGAAGAGGAGAAAAUGGAGAGAACUAAAUGGAGAGGACAUCUCAUCUCGUAAUGCUGACUAUAUUAAGUUCAAAACAAAGGUGCUCGGAAGCCUCCAAUCACGUUCAAGGGCGGAGCUUAUUGCCAUGGUGUUGAGUAUGCAGAGGGAGAUGGACGGCCUUCGAGAGCAAAUCAGAAGCCUUACAGGGAAAGACGUGCAUCGAGCUGAAAGCUCACUAAAAACCAGCUCGUUCACAGAUCAUUUCAUGUUUCAAGAUCAUUUCAGUUUGAAGAAAAGUCCAGCAAGUUCAUGAGGAAACGUCACGUCAGCAAAAGAUUUAGUGUUACUGUG